CAAUGACUGUCAAAGGACAAUGUGCCUUUUCUUGACCAAGUUUCUCUUUAUUUGAUUUAGAAUAAGAAAAAUAGAAACUGCCCUGGCAAAACAGGGCAGAAAACUAGGCCCAAGAAGCUGUAGCAAAACAACAACCUGCUAUAUUGUGCUCUUCUCUUGCUCCCUGUGUGAAAGAACUGUGCUACUGAAGGGAUGUUGUGAAAGAAAAAUGCUCUCCGUUUGGGUUGACUUUUUCCAUGGGAUUCCCCACAACAGCCAGUUUUCUAACAUCUGCUUCAUUUUCCUUUCCCCAUUGCAGGAAAAUAUGUGUUUAGAAACAGAAGAGGCCGUCCUUCGAGGAAACUACCUCGAGCUGACCCUCCUCAGGCUCCUUCUCUUCCUUCCCUUUAUGAGGAUACAGAGGAGGAAGACAACAACGAAGCUCCACCUGUUGUUGCACCAGAGCCUGAACAGCCAAACUCUACCAAUACAUGCUCUGGAACAAAAUCUUCCACUGCCCUGGAAGCCGCUGCACUGGAAGUCGCUGACAAAGACAACACUCCCACACCUGAGAUCCCCUACCUGAGCUCUUCCAGCAGUUCCUGCAGCAGCACCAACGGGCAGCAAAAGACGGUAGAGGAGGACAGCCUAGAGAAACUGAGGAGUAUUGUGAGUGUGGGAGAUCCUAUGAAGAAGUACGUUGAAUGGGAAAUGAUUGCCAGUGGGUAAGUCUGAUCACAGUUCCUUCCACAAAGCCAGGUAUUUUGCUGGUGCAAGGUCAGGCGGGAAGUCAGACAGGCUCCAAGCAUGUUCAGACGCUGCGUUUAGAUCCUCCUGCCUCUCAGUGCUGAUCCCAAUUUAGAACUCUGGCAAGAUGGCAUCGUCAAAGACAACAGCAUGCGGAAAACAAUAGUCAGUGGUCAGCAGUAUAACCACAUCGUUUAGAAACGGAAAACAGAGAUAAAAAAGAAACUUUCUUUUGUAGCAGAAGUAGUAAAACCUAAUUCAGUAAUAGACCCAGUGUCAAGGCAGUUGAGAGGAAAAUGCAUCCUGAUGAUGGCAAAUGACCUCAAAGGUGGCUGGAGACUGGUUUCCUUACAGGCUGGAGAAAGCCAUUUCUAGAUCCUUUCCUCAAAUGGCCCCUCACAUGUGUUCAGGCUUCUCAGAGUAGGGUGUUGCCUGAGAUUGGCAGAGACCUUCAAAGGAGGGAUCUGAGAACAAAGCAGUUAGAGGUCUGAGCACUCAACAAGGCCAAAUGGAAAAAGAAGGAAAUAUAUUCCUUUCCAGUUUUUGUGGACAUGCUCCCCCACCUUAGGGAGGGGUCUGAAUUAAGUUAAUCUGGGCUGUACACUUGAGAUUUUCUCCAGCCCUUCAUGCUGCACCCAAGUUUUCUCUUGGAUACCCUGCAUGGCACAGGGCCGGUAGGCUGCUCUGCUCUUGGCUGAAGCAUACAUGGAGCCAGGUGAUUUAGAA
This is a long non-coding RNA of Pseudopipra pipra, 1452 nucleotides long. RefSeq lists it as uncharacterized. The transcript has 4 exons. NCBI's taxonomy places the organism in Eukaryota, Metazoa, Chordata, Aves, Passeriformes, Pipridae. The record is from RefSeq and is a predicted model, not a curated record.